UACGUAGGGGGCAAGCGUUGUCCGGAUUUAUUGGGCGUAAAGAGCGUGUAGGCGGCUGGUAGGUCCGUUGUGAAAGUCGGGGGCUCAACCCUCGGAUGCCGGUGGAUACUGUCGGGCUUGAGUACGGAAGAGGCGAGUGGAAUUCCUGGUGUAGCGGUGAAAUGCGCAGAUAUCAGGAGGAACACCAAUUGCGAAGGCAGCUCGCUGGGACGUUACUGACGCUGAGACGCGAAAGCGUGGGGAGCAAACAGG
RNAcentral lists this ribosomal RNA (252 nucleotides) under uncultured bacterium. Its description in RNAcentral is "partial 16S ribosomal RNA". It matches the Rfam family "Bacterial small subunit ribosomal RNA", at positions 524 to 776 of the family's 1533-position model. The record is from RNAcentral.